Molecule: ribosomal RNA, 348 nt
Filed under: uncultured bacterium
Lineage: Bacteria
Description: partial 16S ribosomal RNA
Rfam family: Bacterial small subunit ribosomal RNA
Source: RNAcentral
CCUACGGGAGGCAGCAGUCGAGAAUCUUGCUCAAUGGAGGAAACCCUGAUGCAGCGACGCCGCGUGGAGGAUGAAGGUUUUCGGAUUGUAAACUCCUGUUGUUAGAGAAGAUAAUGACGGUAUCUAACGAAUAAGCACAGGCUAACUCCGAGCCAGCAGCCGCGGUAAUACGGAUGGUGCAAGCGUGACCCGGAAUCACUGGGCGUAAAGAGAGCGUAGGCGGGAUAGCAAGUCAGAUGUGAAAUCCUAGGGCUUAACCAUAGAACUGCAUUUGAUACUGUGAUUCUAGAGUAUGGGAGAGGUAGGUGCAAUUCUUGGUGUAGCGGUUACAUCCGUAGCGAUCAAGCG